ACGAACGCUGGCGGCGUGCUUAACACAUGCCAGUCGAACGGAAAGGCCCUGCUUUUGUGGGGUGCUCGAGUGGCGAACGGGUGAGUAACACGUGAGUAACCUGCCCUUGACUUUGGGAUAACUUCAGGAAACUGGGGCUAAUACCGGAUAGGAGCUCCUGCUGCAUGGUGGGGGUUGGAAAGUUUCGGCGGUUGGGGAUGGACUCGCGGCUUAUCAGCUUGUUGGUGGGGUAGUGGCUUACCAAGGCUUUGACGGGUAGCCGGCCUGAGAGGGUGACCGGCCACAUUGGGACUGAGAUACGGCCCAGACUCCUACGGGAGGCAGCAGUGGGGAAUAUUGCACAAUGGGCGGAAGCCUGAUGCAGCAACGCCGCGUGCGGGAUGACGGCCUUCGGGUUGUAAACCGCUUUCGCCUGUGACGAAGCGAGAGUGACGGUAAUGGGUAAAGAAGCACCGGCUAACUACGUG
This 467-nucleotide ribosomal RNA is filed under the name uncultured bacterium. Its description in RNAcentral is "partial 16S ribosomal RNA". It matches the Rfam family "Bacterial small subunit ribosomal RNA", at positions 29 to 507 of the family's 1533-position model. The record is from RNAcentral.